Molecule: transfer-messenger RNA, 372 nt
Filed under: Actinomycetota bacterium
Lineage: Bacteria; Bacillati; Actinomycetota
Rfam family: transfer-messenger RNA
About the family: Bacterial tmRNA, also known as 10Sa RNA or SsrA, is named for its dual tRNA and mRNA-like properties. Its role is to liberate the mRNA from a stalled ribosome.
Source: RNAcentral
GGGGGUGAACGGUUUCGACUUCGGAUGUCGAACCAGGGGAAGCGGGUCGAGGAGGCCGGGAUGAGCUCGUUAACCAUGCCCGGCAAACCAAUAGGUGCCAAUUCCAACCGCACCGCGUACGCCCUCGCCGCCUGAGGCUAGGUAACGUGCGCUGUCAGCCCGGGGUCGCUCCCGACCCGGUGUCUGGCAUCAGCUAGGGAGCUUUACCGUCGCGCCCGGUCACGGGGCGCGUAGGGACAUCUCACAGUGACUGAGCCCGUCGGCGACUUGCCUGCGUGAUCGCCGGGGCUGAGAAAAGCACAGCAGGCUGCACCCGGAGAAGCCCUGGAACGGUGACGAAGGACGCGGGUUCGAUUCCCGCCACCUCCACUC